This 500-nucleotide ribosomal RNA is filed under the name uncultured bacterium. RNAcentral describes it as "partial 16S ribosomal RNA". It matches the Rfam family "Bacterial small subunit ribosomal RNA", at positions 28 to 523 of the family's 1533-position model. The record is from RNAcentral.
GACGAACGCUGGCGGCGUGCCUAAUACAUGCAAGUCGAGCGAGACUCUUCGGAGUCUAGCGGCGGACGGGUGAGUAACACGUGGGCAACCUGCCUGUAAGACUGGGAUAACACCGGGAAACCGGUGCUAAUACCGGAUAAUCCUUUUUCUCUCAUGAGGAAAAGCUGAAAGUCGGUUUCGGCUGACACUUACAGAUGGGCCCGCGGCGCAAUAGCUAGUUGGUGAGGUAACGGCCCACCAAGGCGACGAUGCGUAGCCGACCUGAGAGGGUGAUCGGCCACACUGGGACUGAGACACGGCCCAGACUCCUACGGGAGGCAGCAGUAGGGAAUCUUCCACAAUGGACGAAAGUCUGAUGGAGCAACGCCGCGUGAGCGAUGAAGGCCUUCGGGUCGUAAAGCUCUGUUGUUAGGGAAGAACAAGUACCGGAGUAACUGCCGGUACCUUGACGGUACCUAACCAGAAAGCCACGGCUAACUACGUGCCAGCCGCCGCGGUAA